AUAGGCUUCGGCUUAGCGUCUUAGCAGGCGAUUCCUCCACGGCGCUCGAAGCGCGUCGUGGUAUUUCGCGUAUUGUAAUUUCAACACGAGCGGGGUCAAAUCCUUUGCAGACGACUUANCUGUGCGAAACGGUCCUGUAAGCAGUAGAGUAGCCUUGUUGUUACGAUCUGCUGAGGGUAAGCCGUCCUUCGCCUCGAUUUCCCCAACGA
Molecule: ribosomal RNA, 209 nt
Filed under: Fusarium langsethiae
Lineage: Eukaryota; Fungi; Ascomycota; Sordariomycetes; Hypocreales; Nectriaceae
Description: partial 28S ribosomal RNA
Rfam family: Eukaryotic large subunit ribosomal RNA
Source: RNAcentral